UGGGGAAUAUUGCACAAUGGGCGCAAGCCUGAUGCAGCCAUGCCGCGUGUAUGAAGAAGGCCUUCGGGUUGUAAAGUACUUUCAGCGGGGAGGAAGGGAGUAAAGUUAAUACCUUUGCUCAUUGACGUUACCCGCAGACGAAGCACCGGCUAACUACGUGCCAGCAGCCGCGGUAAUACGUAGGUGGCAAGCGUUGUCCGGAUUUAUUGGGCGUAAAGCGAGCGCAGGCGGUUUCUUAAGUCUGAUGUGAAAGCCCCCGGCUCAACCGGGGAGGGUCAUUGGAAACUGGGAGACUUGAGUGCAGAAGAGGAGAGUGGAAUUCCAUGUGUAGCGGUGAAAUGCGUAGAUAUAUGGAGGAACACCAGUGGCGAAGGCGGCUCUCUGGUCUGUAACUGACGCUGAGGCUCGAAAGCGUGGGGAGCAAACAGG
RNAcentral lists this ribosomal RNA (429 nucleotides) under Chloroflexota bacterium. Its description in RNAcentral is "Chloroflexi bacterium partial 16S ribosomal RNA". It matches the Rfam family "Bacterial small subunit ribosomal RNA", at positions 355 to 776 of the family's 1533-position model. Lineage: Bacteria; Bacillati; Chloroflexota. The record is from RNAcentral.